Molecule: long non-coding RNA, 1403 nt
Organism: Wyeomyia smithii (pitcher-plant mosquito)
Lineage: Eukaryota; Metazoa; Arthropoda; Insecta; Diptera; Culicidae
Exons: 3
Source: RefSeq, a predicted model, not a curated record
CUCAUUCCUAUUCUGUAACCUAAAAGAUAUUAAACACGUUUUUUUGAGUUUAUACUAUCGUUUUACCAAGUUAUUUUAUUUCGUUGGCCUUCCAUAACUCUGUUAGGUUAUAGGCCCAGUGUUUCGGACAUCCCGUGAAUGGAAAAUAGUAUUUUCGCGAUGGAUAACGAUGGAAAAACGGAACGCGUUUAUAUGUUCGACGGUGGUAAUUUCAUGGCGUGGAAGCUCCGCACACAGGUGCUGCUUGAGGAGCAUGACCUGUUUGAGUGUGUGGAGAUGGAAGCCGAGGAAAUUUUGGAAAUGCAAGACCAACCAGCGACACGCAGCAACAGAAAGACGGGAAGCAGAAACUGCGAGAGAAGCGACGUAGGCAGGACCGGAAGUGUCGAUCACUGUUGAUCUCCCGGAUUAAUGACACUCAACUUGAAUACGUCCAGGAAAAGAAGACCCCUAAGGAAAUUUGGGAUGCGCUCAAACGUGUAUUCGAGCGGCGGAGCAUCGCAAGUCGAAUGCAUUUAAAGCGUCGAAUGCUGGGUCUGAAGUUCGAGGACGGUUCGCUUCAUGAACAUUUUUUAUGCUUCGACCGGCUCGUUAGGGAGUAUCGUGCAACCGGGGCGGAGAUGGAGGAGCUUGACAUUAUUUGUCAUCUGCUUAUUACGUUGGGACCAUCAUUUUCGACCGUGAUAACGGCCAUCGAGACCAUGCCGGAAGAUAAACUUAGCAUUGAGUUCGUUAAAUGCCGGUUGCUUGAUGAAGAGGUUAAGCGCAAGGGAAUAGGUGAUGAAUCCAGCACCCCUAAAAGUGAUUCUGCUGCAUUUUCCUGCAGAAAGCAAAAGAAGAAAAAGAAAAUCUUUAAAUGCUUUGGAUGCAAGCAAGAAGGCCACAAGCUGGCGAAUUGCACGAAAAAGAAGGAAAUGAAACCAAAAAUGUAAAACGGAAAUCUAGAGCGUAUUUAGGUAAAAAAGCAGGUACAUGUUUUGUGGGAUUGACCGGUGAAGUUUUACCAAACACAAUAGACCGGUUGAAAUGGUUCAUCGAUUCCGGCUGAUCGGAUCAUCUUGUAAAUGAUCGGGUGCUAUUCGACAAACUCGAGCCAUUAGCAUCUCCAGUGGAAAUUGCCGUAGCGAAGCCCGCAUAAUCAAAAACCAUUGCUGAAGCGUAUCCCCACAUAGGAUAGUGAGCACUGUUUGUCCGCCACACCUUCAACGGUUGAAGCUCCAUCGAAAAACGAAGAAAUCCAGUAAACGGUGUAGUCGCAGGUGUUUGUCAAACUAUAAUGAAAGUAUCUCCGAGCAGAACGAUGUUGAAGUCCACAUUGCACGACGACGAAUGCAAAACAGCGCCCCUCGCAGUCUGGAAGAAUACAAAUAUGACCAGUCACAAAGAGAAAUGUGUAAGAUGGC